UCUGGGAGGACUGAGCGCAGCUCGUGGGGAAGAAGAGGAAAACAGGUGAGAGGUUUCCCACCUACACAAGAUGAAAAUACGAUCCUGUGGUUACCAGGUCCGUCCAUCCCUGAAUUCCUUCUCUAGCUAAUACGCCAUUGGAAAAUGCAUGUCUUACCUCAGCCACAAGAGUGUUAAAUCGAUCGACACAGGAAACACGUAAAGUGGCAGUUUAGGGAAGUUAACCUUUGACCUGCUGGACUGACUCAGGCGGCGACGCAAUCCCCCCGUGUGCCAUGGCCGCGGGUCACAGGUGUGCUCCACAUGUGAAUGCUAUCAAGUGAGGAUGGAAAAUGGAAAUAAAAAUGGAAAUAAUAGAGAUGAAGCCAAGGAGCCUAACAGCGGGCAGCUGUACCUUUUUGUACUGUGUGACAAAUGAACUGAAAAGUAACCAGAGCACUGACAGUAUAAUCUGUUGACCUUGGAAUCAUUUCUACAGCAAAUGAAUGCACUUAGUUGAGGAGGAGGAUGACAGGUGCAGAGACGACAUUAUGGAGGAAUAAACACCCAGAGUUGUGUCAGAUUCUUCUCUAUUACAUAACUAUCUGCUGACUGGAGCUCCUGCCGUUGGGUAAAAGCUUGUAACCAGGAGGACACAGGCACUGAAAACUGCCAAUGGUGUUUCUGCACUCGUGUUGACACGGCUUCCUGAGCAGACACUCGUCUACAUCUGGACAGGAAAUAAAAGCCUGUUGGACAGCUCUGUCUGGUUAUGCGAGACACUCCUUGAGAACGGGAAAGGAUUGGCCUGCCAAGAGAUGACACCAGCUGUGGACGAAGCCUUGCCCGGACUCGGGUGCCGUUGCUGAAG
Molecule: long non-coding RNA, 850 nt
Organism: Acanthopagrus latus (yellowfin seabream)
Lineage: Eukaryota; Metazoa; Chordata; Actinopteri; Spariformes; Sparidae
Exons: 5
Source: RefSeq, a predicted model, not a curated record